This 86-nucleotide small nuclear RNA is filed under the name Triticum aestivum (bread wheat). RNAcentral also lists the same sequence under 2 other names. The record is from RNAcentral. Lineage: Eukaryota; Viridiplantae; Streptophyta; Magnoliopsida; Poales; Poaceae.
GUCUCCUCCGGGACGUCCGAUAAAAUUGGAACGAUACAGCCUGCGCAAGGAUGGCACGCACAAAUCGAGAAAUGGUCCAAAUUUUU